Molecule: ribosomal RNA, 460 nt
Filed under: Enterobacteriaceae bacterium
Lineage: Bacteria; Pseudomonadati; Pseudomonadota; Gammaproteobacteria; Enterobacterales; Enterobacteriaceae
Description: bacterial SSU rRNA
Rfam family: Bacterial small subunit ribosomal RNA
Source: RNAcentral
CAGCCACACUGGACUGAGACACGGUCCAGUUCCUAGGGAGGAGCAGGGGGAAUAUUGCACAUGGGCCAAGCCUGAGCAGCCAUCCGCGUGUAUGAAGAAGCCUUCGGGUUUAAAGUCUUUCAGCGGGGAGGAAGGCGAUGCGGUUAAUACCGCGUCGAUUACGUUCCCGCAGAAGAAGCACCGGCUAACUCCGUGCCAGCAGCCGCGGUAAUACGGAGGGUGCAAGCGUUAAUCGGAAUUACUGGGCGUAAAGCGCACGCAGGCGGUCUGUUAAGUCAGAUGUGAAAUCCCCGGGCUUAACCUGGGAACUGCAUUUGAAACUGGCAGGCUUGAGUCUUGUAGAGGGGGGUAGAAUUCCAGGUGUAGCGGUGAAAUGCGUAGAGAUCUGGAGGAAUACCGGUGGCGAAGGCGGCCCCCUGGACAAAGACUGACGCUCAGGUGCGAAAGCGUGGGGAGCAAA